UAAUAAUAAUUAAUAACUAUAAUGACGCCGUUUCAUCGUUUGAUCUAUUCCUUUUGUUUCCUCUCCCACUCACACUUUGUUAUUUUUCCAAACCCUAGCAGAGUGAAACACUCAGCCGCCGUCCACUCGCUCCUUCGUUUUCUCAACUCGUUCGUUCGAUUUCCCUCCACCGCCGUCGAACUCAAAGUAUCCACCAUCUAUCUCCUCCAUUUUCUUCGUUUUUGAUUUCUUUAUUGGGUUUUUCGUUUUCGAUUUCUUUACAUAAGAAGAAAGAUAUAAAACUCCUCAUGGCUGAGAAACAAAGAGGCUACACUUCUUUGCGAGGUUGAAGGCGUAGACAAAGAAAUAACAUCUCCGUGCUUCUGGUUUGAGGAUCCUUAGUCCUUGUUUUAACUAUAAAAAUAGAUAUUUAUCCCAGGAAACUCUAAGAUUUGGAGGCUUGAAGGAAGAACCAUCAUCCUUUUAUUGUUGUGCAGGAGUUACAUCAAGAGUAGAGUGAAAAUGAAAAUUGAAAAGUGAUGUUGGUAUUGAAAUGAAUAUAAAUCCCAAUCUAGUUCUUCAAGUGUUUAUGGAUUAUUCAGUCAAAAAAUAAAGUGUUUAUGAAUUAUAAGUGUUGUAAUAUUUUUUAUUAGUGUUUUGUUGAGUAUA
Long non-coding RNA from Trifolium pratense (red clover), 648 nucleotides. RefSeq lists it as uncharacterized. The transcript is spliced from 2 exons. The record is from RefSeq and is a predicted model, not a curated record. NCBI's taxonomy places the organism in Eukaryota, Viridiplantae, Streptophyta, Magnoliopsida, Fabales, Fabaceae.